Molecule: unclassified non-coding RNA, 350 nt
Filed under: Trueperella pyogenes
Lineage: Bacteria; Bacillati; Actinomycetota; Actinomycetes; Actinomycetales; Actinomycetaceae
Description: contains 16S-23S intergenic spacer region
Rfam family: Bacterial small subunit ribosomal RNA (bases 1-89)
Source: RNAcentral
GGGGGGAGCGGUCGAAGGUGGGAUUGGCGAUUGGGACGAAGUCGUAACAAGGUAGCCGUACCGGAAGGUGCGGCUGGAUCACCUCCUUUCUAAGGAGCUCCUGUUUUGCUUGUGAUCGUGGUGGUUAUGAGUGUUGUGGGGGUUUUUAGUGGUUGGCAACAUUGGAGUUGGCAUGCUGUUGGGGUGUGGGGUAACGCCUUGGCUGCCUGCGCGUGGGCCUGCUUGUGUGGUGGGUUUGUGUGUGGUGUUGGUGUGGUGGUUGAGAAUUGUAUAGUGGAUGCGAGCAUCUUUUGGUUUUUGUAAGUGUGUAAGGGCGUUCGGUGGAUGCCUUGGUACACGGAGCCGAUGAA